AGAGUCACAGUGAUGGUAAGAAGGUAGGAAAGGAAUGUAACAUUGAGGGUCUGGACGAUGAACUGGCCGGAGAAGAGGGAAAGAGCUGGAAGAAAGCAGUAGACAAUCAGGAAGAUAGAAGUGAAAGGAUAGAUUCCAACAUUGAGGUAUGCUAUCCUUUGGAGCAACUUCAUUUUUGGGCUGGCAAGGAGGGCAUUGUUGCGGGAGAAAAAGAUCUCAACUGAACCAGUAGCCCACCGUAGGACUUGAUGAAGCCUAUCUGUAAGAUUUAUCGGAGCAGUUCCACGGAAGGCAUCACGCUUGGUCACACAAUAAACAGAUUUCCACCCUCUAUUGUGCAUUCUAUACCCAGUGACCACAUCUUCGGUAACAGACCCAUAAAUCCACCCUAUACGCUGUCCCCAUUCAGUCUUGUCUUCAUACCAGCACGAGAUGACACUGAUAGCCUCUGCAACAGUUGAUGCAUCAAGAAGUUCACGAGGUAUGGUAAGAGCACCAGGUGGGCGUCCAUUCUUCACAGAGGGGUGAUCUGCAAGGGGACGACCUUGGAACUCUGCCACUGGAAUUGAAUCAACAAGGAAAGUUGAGUUACCAAACUUCUUAGGGAACAAAGAAAGGUUCAUCUCUUC
Molecule: long non-coding RNA, 629 nt
Filed under: Citrus sinensis (sweet orange)
Lineage: Eukaryota; Viridiplantae; Streptophyta; Magnoliopsida; Sapindales; Rutaceae
Description: long non-coding RNA (CSIN_LNC002297)
Source: RNAcentral